This 81-nucleotide transfer RNA is filed under the name Caenorhabditis japonica. Its description in RNAcentral is "tRNA CJA46633". It matches the Rfam family "tRNA", at positions 9 to 71 of the family's 71-position model. Rfam says of the family: Transfer RNA (tRNA) molecules are approximately 80 nucleotides in length. Lineage: Eukaryota; Metazoa; Nematoda; Chromadorea; Rhabditida; Rhabditidae. The record is from RNAcentral.
GGUGCUCUUCUGUAAUUUUACCGUGGUUAUCACGUCUGCUUCACACGCAGAAGGUCGCCGGUUCGAACCCGGCCAGGACCU